UGUUGUUGUUCAACUUUUGCUCCUUUACACUUCUACCCUUUGUGACUUAUUACCCCUGGCCUUAUUUCAUCCACCUGUCACCUCAGACUUAUUUUUGAAAAGCAUUCUCAGGAAAGUUGGCUCUUUUAGAAGACAUUUGAGUAGCAACUUGGCUGAAUGUGGAAAUUGGUUGUGAUCUUUCAUUUCUAUACCCAGGGACGUGGUUCCCCUGUGUUCUGGUAUUCGGGUUUUGAAAAGAGUGUCAAGCCCCCUUGCGUCUUUGUAUUUCAGUUUGACACAUUCUUUUUGCUUAAAAUUCAACACUAUCCCCAAGUGAUAUCCUUUGGUUCAUUUGUCUGGAAAAUAAUUGUUCUAUUUCAAAAUAUCAGUUACUUUUUUAAGCCAGGUAAUUCUCUAGAAUUUUCCAUGUGCUCUUAUUUAAAUCCCAUUUGCCCUGCUCUGCCUGGUGGAGUCUCUCCCAGGAACUGGAUCUUUUCUUUGCUGUUUUGCUUGUUUUCUCUGUCAGUGCCAAUUUGACCUUUUCUUGAGGAGUUUUUGGUGUCUUCCCCUGAUUCGUCCUGUAAACUGCUAAUUAAAUUUUCUACAAUGUCAAGUCUGCUAAUUGUUGAUUCGCACUAACUCACUUGUUUGGAAAUUCAGUUAAGUGGACUGCUGAUCACAAGUUUUUCCUUCUUUUUGUUUUCAGUCCUUGAUUCAUAGGGGCAGAGUCUGUCUGAUUUUUUUUUCCCUUUGUUCCUUAAGGAGAAAUGCAGACAGGUUUCCUUUUCUUAUAUGGUAAUAAAUAUAAUGCUGUUAUACUUCUUGUCACUAACUCUUUGAGUUAGUAACCCUUAAAAAAAA
RNAcentral lists this long non-coding RNA (840 nucleotides) under Rattus norvegicus (Norway rat). Its description in RNAcentral is "long non-coding RNA NONRATT026729". Lineage: Eukaryota; Metazoa; Chordata; Mammalia; Rodentia; Muridae. The record is from RNAcentral.